ACACGAACCGGGCAAACGUUAUUCGGAAUUACUGGGCUUAAAGGGUGCGUAGGCGGCGCUUCAAGUCGGGUGUGAAAUCCCCCAGCUCAACUGGGGAACUGCGCCCGAAACUGGAGUGCUCGAGGGAGAUAGAGGUAAGCGGAACUGAUGGUGGAGCGGUGAAAUGCGUUGAUAUCAUCAGGAACACCAGUAGCGAAGGCGGCUUACUGGGUCUCUUCUGACGCUGAGGCACGAAAGCUAGGGUAGCGAACGGGAUUAGAAACCCCAGUAGUCC
Molecule: ribosomal RNA, 274 nt
Filed under: uncultured bacterium
Lineage: Bacteria
Description: partial 16S ribosomal RNA
Rfam family: Bacterial small subunit ribosomal RNA
Source: RNAcentral